Molecule: non-coding RNA, 187 nt
Filed under: Lepisosteus oculatus (spotted gar)
Lineage: Eukaryota; Metazoa; Chordata; Actinopteri; Semionotiformes; Lepisosteidae
Description: Eukaryotic large subunit ribosomal RNA
Rfam family: Eukaryotic large subunit ribosomal RNA
Source: Rfam by way of RNAcentral
UUGACUGGCUGGUGGUCCGCCUGUCGGAGGGUAGCACAGGUGUCUUCAGGCGAGUUCAAGGAGAACAGAAACCUCCUGUGGAGCAGAAGGGCUUAAGCUGGCUUGAUCUUGAUUUUCAGUAUGAACACAGACAACUGAAAGCAAGGGCCUCACCAGCUUUCUGUCUGUUUAGGGUUUUAAGCAGGAC